Podarcis lilfordi (Lilford's wall lizard) is the source of this 74-nucleotide non-coding RNA. Lineage: Eukaryota; Metazoa; Chordata; Lepidosauria; Squamata; Lacertidae. The record is from the annotation of a GenBank genome assembly.
GCCUGGAUAGCUCAGCUGGUUAGAGUGUGGCACUGAUAACACUAAGGUUGCAGGUUCAAUCCUCGUAUGGGACA